This 255-nucleotide ribosomal RNA is filed under the name uncultured bacterium. RNAcentral's name for it is "partial 16S ribosomal RNA". It matches the Rfam family "Bacterial small subunit ribosomal RNA", at positions 524 to 776 of the family's 1533-position model. The record is from RNAcentral.
UACGUAGGGUGCAAGCGUUGUCCGGAAUUAUUGGGCGUAAAGAGCUCGUAGGCGGUUUGUCGCGUCGAAUGUGAAAACCCCGGGGCUCAACUCCGGGCCUGCAUUCGAUACGGGCAGACUAGAGUUCGGUAGGGGAGACUGGAAUUCCUGGUGUAGCGGUGAAAUGCGCAGAUAUCAGGAGGAACACCGGUGGCGAAGGCGGGUCUCUGGGCCGAUACUGACGCUGAGGAGCGAAAGCGUGGGGGAGCGAACAGG